GACGAACGCUGGCGGCGUGCUUAACACAUGCAAGUCGAACGGAAAGGCCCUGCUUUUGUGGGGUGCUCGAGUGGCGAACGGGUGAGUAACACGUGAGUAACCUGCCCUUGACUUUGGGAUAACUUCAGGAAACUGGGGCUAAUACCGGAUAGGAGCUCCUGCUGCAUGGUGGGGGUUGGAAAGUUUCGGCGGUUGGGGAUGGACUCGCGCCUUAUCAGCUUGUUGGUGGGGUAGUGGCUUACCAAGGCUUUGACGGGUAGCCGGGCUGGGAGGGGGACCGGACAAACUGGGACGGGAAUGAGACACAGACUAGUACGGGAGGGAGGGGAGGAGAAGAGUACACAGGAGGAGGGAGGCAAGUGCAGCAAAGCAACGUGGGGGAAGAGGGGAAGGGGGUAGGAUAGCGAAUUCGUCUGUGACGGGAUGAGAGUGACGGUAAUGGGUGAAGAAGCACCGGCUAACUACGUG
Molecule: ribosomal RNA, 468 nt
Filed under: uncultured bacterium
Lineage: Bacteria
Description: partial 16S ribosomal RNA
Rfam family: Bacterial small subunit ribosomal RNA
Source: RNAcentral